This 227-nucleotide ribosomal RNA is filed under the name Salmonella enterica subsp. enterica. Its description in RNAcentral is "partial 23S ribosomal RNA". It matches the Rfam family "Bacterial large subunit ribosomal RNA", at positions 1118 to 1344 of the family's 2925-position model. Lineage: Bacteria; Pseudomonadati; Pseudomonadota; Gammaproteobacteria; Enterobacterales; Enterobacteriaceae. The record is from RNAcentral.
AUCAUUUAAAGAAAGCGUAAUAGCUCACUGGUCGAGUCGGCCUGCGCGGAAGAUGUAACGGGGCUAAACCAUGCACCGAAGCUGCGGCAGCGACACUGUGUGUUGUUGGGUAGGGGAGCGUUCUGUAAGCCUGUGAAGGUGGCCUGUGAGGGUUGCUGGAGGUAUCAGAAGUGCGAAUGCUGACAUAAGUAACGAUAAAGCGGGUGAAAAGCCCGCUCGCCGGAAGA